Molecule: long non-coding RNA, 1438 nt
Organism: Solanum dulcamara
Lineage: Eukaryota; Viridiplantae; Streptophyta; Magnoliopsida; Solanales; Solanaceae
Exons: 2
Source: RefSeq, a predicted model, not a curated record
UUUACAUGAUUUCAGAUUUUUGGAAAAGAUUGAUUUUGCUGUCUGUUGUUCUGGGUGUCGUUUUGCUAUUCAUUUUGAUUUUGUUUGCUUCGUACGUGAAUGGAGUUUUGAUCGGUGAAGUGGUACCCAUUUCUGAUGAAUUUUUUGUCCCUUUCGAUGUUACUGGAAAUUUAGUUUAGUAAGAGGAAAUGGAGAAGAUGGUAACAAAGUGAUCACAUAGCGGAGUGGAUAUCGCGUUAGACUCCGAAUCUAAAGGUCGUGGGUUCGAUUCCCACUGUGAUCACUACUUUUUUUAUGUUUCAUAUUUUGUUUUUGGUUUUGGAAAUUGAUUGCCUAAUUAUCUGAAUUUACAUAGAUUUAGCUCCUGUUUGGCCAUAGAUUUUCAACUUUGUUUUUGAAAACAUUGUUUGUUCAUGAAAUUUGGUCAGUUUUUGAAAAGGAGGCCCAAUGUUUCUUUUGAAGUUUCAACUAAAUUUAUGGCUAAACGCUAGCUUAGUUAGAUUCUUGCAGAAACCUUGCUUUUGUUAUCUGUUCUUUUGUCCUUUUCAAUGUUAGUGGAAUAGUAAUACUGAAAUGUAUAAGGGAAUGGAGAAGAUGGUAACAAGUGAUCUCACAGCGGAGUGGAUAUUGUGUUAGACUCACGAUCUAAAGUUUGUGGUUUUGUAUCCCACCGGGAUCGCUUCAUGCCUUCCUUUGCACCUGUUUUGUUUUACUUGGUUUCAUAUUUUUGUGUCACGAUCUAAAGUUUGUGGGUUUGUUUUUCUUGGUUUCAUUAAGCUUGAGGUAAUUGGUUUGAGACUGUUACUAGCUGCCUCCACUGCAUAUGCAUAAUAGUUAUGAACUUGGUGCAACUGCUAUGUAAUUUUCAUCUUGAUUGGGGGCGUUUUACUAAAUGACAUGGGUAAAGUAUGCGACCAAGGUAUUUCUAUUGCAAAUGCAGGUUGGUUUUCACUUGAUUGAUGGUUUUAUUCCUAUAAUCAUUGCCUCGGCAUGAUAUAUGUUUAUGGAGUGAAAUAAGAGGCUAAGUUUUCCUUUUUUUUGAUUUAUUGGUUUAGCGUUUGUUUGUGUUACAUGUUGCAACAGUCUUACUUUAUCUGGGGGGGGGGGGGUACAUGAAAAUCUCAAGGGUGUUACUUGAGUAUUUGUAGGAAUAGGAACAACUUCACCUCAACAUUUUCAGUAAGUAUGUUUACCAUGAUCCUGGGUUUGUGAAUUUGAUUUAAUCAUUCCCCACAGAAGUGUUGGGCUGUUACAGUUGGAUUGACGUCUGAUUGUGGAAGAUGCAUCAGAUAAUGGAUGAUCAAGAUUUAGGAUUCUUUGCCAACUUUCUUGGCAUCUUUAUUUUCGUAUUUGUUAUUGCUUAUCAUUAUGUAGUGGCUGAUCCGAAGUACUUGGGCAACUAACUGAUGCCGAUCAUCCAUAGUGAGUAGCUUUUAAU